GGUUCAUAACAGCGUUUCAUACUUGGAAGAGGAAGAGAAAGGGAAGGGGGACGUGCAUGUAGCUCAUUUCACUCUACGGACGGAAGGAGAUGGACACCUGAACGGGACAUAUGGGUGUAGAAACGGAGGGUUAGCCACUGAUGCUGAAUGGAUGGGGUCGUUCCGACGUCACGCGGAGCCCCAGACGCGCAGCGCACCAGCCAACACAAGACGACAUUGGAAAGCGCGAGGCGUUCUCAACCGCAGAGCUGUCCAUGUUACCGCCAAACCAAAUCCUCACCAUAUAGUCUGAAGGAAAGAAGUCAAUGAUAUAGGUCUGAAUGCGGGUUCCUCAUUUUCCCCAUGGCUUGAAGAGAAGGUUGGCCGAAGGGGUUGGCUGUUAUCUUUGGUUAUCUAGCUGUAUGAGUGAUGUAAGUUCUUCAUAAAGCUAGAUAACCGAAAGUAACAAGAAUCCCAUUACACACCUGAAAGGCCACACCUAUCCAACAUUCCAUACCCUUUGCUUUUUCUUCUCACAAGACAUGAAAUGGCAGAAAGAACAGAAACGACGUCCAAUUUCUGUUGAAAAGAUGCCAGCGAAAGGGAUGGAAAACAUGGCGGAUGUUAAGGAGGAGGGGUGGUUUGGUUUGAGACUCUCUGUGCCCCACUAUGCAUUGCUGCUCUCAGCCCCUCCUCUCCCUGCCUGCCUGCCCCUUCCUCUUGUGACGAACGGCAAUCCACGCUUCACCACCAUCUUAGAGAGUGUUGGCAUGAAAUGGAAGAGGGAGGAAAAAUAAAAGAAUGAGCAGGUGAUGGAAGAACAGAGGAAAACUUUGUAGAAAAGACAUGCGAUCAUGGAUGGAUCAGUGCCUGCUGAUGAAGUUGUUGACCCAGAUGUCUGCACCAUUUUUGUGUGCCCCAACAUUAUUACAUUGAAGCACUUUAUAUGCCUCUUUAUUUUGUUUGGACAUUUUGUGAAUUUUUUUGUCAAGUCAAUUAUCUGUAAGAAUGUAGUUUAUUAUCAUCUGACAUCCUCACAUUAGCUCUGCAAACUCUACCUGGAUGUGUAAUUGAAAUUGUUGAAAGCAAUUUCAUCUGUCUAUUUUCCACAAUACAAAAUGCUGUUUUUUUUUUUUUACAUUAUUUUAUAGUUUUUAAACUAUAAUAAUAUCUUACAGAGGUCAACCAUUAAAUACAUUUAAUGUGUUACGUAUGUAAGUAUAUAUCUAAACCAGGUCAAGACAAUCACCUAGUCAUAUCUGCUUAGACAGGCGGUUAGCAUAAACUCAAUCUAGCAUAAAGCACUUUAAACAUUCAUAUAACCUUUCCUUCUUCCCAUUCUCAUAUUUUGUAUUUAAUGUCACAGGCCAGGCUUGAGAGCAUCUGCUAUUAUGAAAAUGACACUGCUUAAUAUGAUUGUAAUGUUAUGUUUAAAACAAGUAGCUAAAUAUUAGACUAAUGGUGUAGGGAUCAUGAAUGUGAGACGCACGGCAGCAGUGAAGGGUUACAAUGCACUGCAAUUGAACAGCUCUGUGUGUUGAUAUUUACACAUCUGGUAUAGAGAGAGCUGUUGUCUUUAUUCUCUAUGCAACUGAGUUGGUCAUGCAAUCAUGUGCAUGACCUUUCCUGAGCAGAUGGAACAUACUUUAUUCAAAUUUAAAAACAAUAUUUGAAAUGUUUUAAAUACUGGGUUAAAAUUAAGGAGAAGAAACACUUUGCAUAGUUUGUGUUAAUUUCUUUACUGUAUUUUGUCUAUGCAGCAUGAUUGAGUCUUCAUGCACAAGAAAUAAGUGAUAAUCCGAAUUUUUUACACAAGCUUGUAAAAAAGUGUAUGUAAUGUAGAUUGUAAAUGUAAAAUACUUCUUCUUCUUCUUCUUCUUCUUCUUCUUCUUCUUCUUCUUCUUCUUCUUCUUCUUCUUCUUCUUCUUCUUCACUUGUUAGUAGUAGUAGUAGGAGGUUGUUAGAUUGUUUCCUAAUCUGUUGUUACAUAAUCGUAAAAUUCAAUUUGGGCAGAGGCAAACACAUAUUUUAAUGAUCUAUGCAAAUAUAUUAAUAUUUAAUCAUAUAAUGAGUAUUGUGCAAUUGAGUUUGAGACCUAUUGAGACCUGCUGUUUUGGACAGUGAUGUCCUUAAACCCUAAGUCAGUAAACAAGCAAGUCAUUUUAAUUUUACAUAACAUUACAUUACUAUACUUAAAAAUCUUUUACUAUGCAAUUUAUUGUGGUGUAUAUGUGUGUUAUAUUUUGUAUAAUAUUGUGGUGUAUAUGUGUGUAUCGAAAAUGUUGUAUUUCCUUAUAUGAGGUUUUUGUCAUUUUUUGAUGUAGGCAACUUGUCUAAGACUAACAUAGUUUACUUUAUUAUUAGACCAUUUCUGGCAAUGAAAAUUU
Molecule: long non-coding RNA, 2366 nt
Organism: Tachysurus fulvidraco (yellow catfish)
Lineage: Eukaryota; Metazoa; Chordata; Actinopteri; Siluriformes; Bagridae
Exons: 5
Source: RefSeq, a predicted model, not a curated record